AGAGAGUGCAUCACGAAUAAAUGC
RNAcentral lists this non-coding RNA (24 nucleotides) under Gossypium hirsutum (cotton). Lineage: Eukaryota; Viridiplantae; Streptophyta; Magnoliopsida; Malvales; Malvaceae. The record is from RNAcentral.